AUUAAUACCGCAUGUGGUGCUAACACUAAAGCAGCAAUGCGCUUCAGGAUGGGCUCGCGGCCUAUCCUCUUGUUGGUAAGGUAACGGCUUACCAAGGCAAUGACGGGUAACUGGUUUGAGAGGAUGAUCAGUCACACUGGAACUGAGACACGGUCCAGACACCUACGGGUGGCAGCAGUCGAGAAUCAUUCGCAAUGGGGGAAACCCUGACGGUGCGACGCCGCGUGGAGGAUGACGGCCUUCGGGUUGUAAACUCCUGUCAUGAGGGAGCAAAGCUCUUCGGAGCCUGAUAGUACCUCAAGAGGAAGGAACGGCAAACUCUGUGCCAGCAACCGCGGUAAUACAGAGGUUCCAAGCGUUGUUCGGAUUCAUUGGGCCUAAAGGGUGCGUAGGCGGCGUGGUAAGUCAAAUGAGAAAUUACGGAGCUCAACUCCGUACUGCAUUCGAUACUGCCAUGCUAGAGGACUGGAGAGGAGACUGGAAUUCACGGUGUAGCAGUGAAAUGCGUAGAUAUCGUGAGGAAGACCAGUGGCGAAGGCGAGUCUCUGGACAGCUCCUGACGCUGAGGCACGAUAGGCCAGGGUAGCGAACGGGAUUAGAUACCCCGGUAGUCCUGGCAGUAAACGUUGCACGUUUGGUGUGGGAGGAUUCGACUCCUUCCGUGCCGGAGCUAACGCGUUAAACGUGCCGCCUGGGGAGUACGGUCGCAAGAUUAAAACUCAAAGAAAUUGACGGGGGCCCGCACAAGCGGUGGAGUAUGUGGCUUAAUUCGAUGCAACGCGAAGAACCUUACCCAGCCUUGACAUGCAUUUCUAAACCGGUGAAAGCCGGCGAGUCUUCGGACAACUUGCACAGGUGCUGCAUGGCUGUCGUCAGCUCGUGUCGUGAGAUGUUGGGUUAAGUCCCGCAACGAGCGCAACCCCUGUGAACUGUUGCUAUCCUUUUGGAGCACUCUGUUCAGACUGCCCUGUCAAACGGGGAGGAAGGUGGGGGCGACGUCAAGUCUGUAUGGCCCUUAUGGCUGGGGCUGCACACGUACUACAAUGCGCAGUUCAAUGUGAGCCGAAACCGCGAGGUG
RNAcentral lists this ribosomal RNA (1078 nucleotides) under uncultured organism. RNAcentral's name for it is "bacterial SSU rRNA". It matches the Rfam family "Bacterial small subunit ribosomal RNA", at positions 162 to 1264 of the family's 1533-position model. The record is from RNAcentral.